RNAcentral lists this ribosomal RNA (253 nucleotides) under uncultured bacterium. RNAcentral's name for it is "partial 16S ribosomal RNA". It matches the Rfam family "Bacterial small subunit ribosomal RNA", at positions 524 to 776 of the family's 1533-position model. The record is from RNAcentral.
UACGUAGGGUGCGAGCGUUAAUCGGAAUUACUGGGCGUAAAGCGUGCGCAGGCGGUUUUGUAAGCCAGAUGUGAAAUCCCCGGGCUUAACCUGGGAAUGGCAUUUGGGACUGCAAGGCUUGAGUGCGGCAGAGGAGACUGGAAUUCCUGGUGUAGCAGUGAAAUGCGUAGAUAUCUGGAGGAACACCGGUGGCGAAGGCGGCAUCCUGGACCGACACUGACGCUGAGGAGCGAAAGCCAGGGGAGCAAACGGG